This 256-nucleotide ribosomal RNA is filed under the name uncultured bacterium. RNAcentral's name for it is "partial 16S ribosomal RNA". It matches the Rfam family "Bacterial small subunit ribosomal RNA", at positions 524 to 776 of the family's 1533-position model. The record is from RNAcentral.
UACGGAGGGGGCUAGCGUUGUUCGGAAUUACUGGGCGUAAAGCGCACGUAGGCGGCUUUGUAAGUUAGAGGUGAAAGCCCGGGGCUCAACUCCGGAAUUGCCUUUAAGACUGCAUCGCUAGAAUUGUGGAGAGGUAAGUGGAAUUCCGAGUGUAGAGGUGAAAUUCGUAGAUAUUCGGAAGAACACCAGUGGCGAAGGCGACUUACUGGACACAUAUUGACGCUGAGGUGGCGAAAAGCGGUGGGGAGCAAACAGG